CCUACGGGAGGCAGCAGUGGGGAAUAUUGCACAAUGGGCGCAAGCCUGAUGCAGCGACGCCGCGUGGGGGAUGACGGCCUUCGGGUUGUAAACUCCUUUCGCUAGGGACGAAGCCACUUGUGGUGACGGUACCUGGAGAAGAAGCACCGGCUAACUACGUGCCAGCAGCCGCGGUAAUACGUAGGGUGCGAGCGUUGUCCGGAAUUACUGGGCGUAAAGAGCUCGUAGGUGGUUUGUCGCGUCGUCUGUGAAAUCCCGGGGCUUAACUUCGGGCGUGCAGGCGAUACGGGCAUAACUUGAGUGCUGUAGGGGAGACUGGAAUUCCUGGUGUAGCGGUGAAAUGCGCAGAUAUCAGGAGGAACACCAAUGGCGAAGGCAGGUCUCUGGGCAGUAACUGACGCUGAGGAGCGAAAGCAUGGGUAGCGAACAGGAUUAGAUACCCUGGUAGUCCAUGCCGUAAACGGUGGGCGCUAGGUGUAGGGGUCUUCCACGACUUCUGUGCCGC
RNAcentral lists this ribosomal RNA (505 nucleotides) under uncultured Corynebacterium sp. RNAcentral describes it as "bacterial SSU rRNA". It matches the Rfam family "Bacterial small subunit ribosomal RNA", at positions 338 to 849 of the family's 1533-position model. The record is from RNAcentral. Lineage: Bacteria; Bacillati; Actinomycetota; Actinomycetes; Mycobacteriales; Corynebacteriaceae.